AGUGAACGCUGGCGGCGUGCCUAAUACAUGCAAGUCGAACGGAGUGGCGCACGGGUGAGUAAUGUAUAGCUAAUCUGCCCUACACUAGAGGACAACAGUUGGGAAAGACUGCUAAUACUCUAUAGUGUAGGAUGAGGCUAUAUUGUAUCAGCUAGUUGGUGAGGUAAUGGCUCACCAAGGAUAUGACGCAUAACUGGUCUGAGAGGAUGAUCAGUCACACUGGAACUUAGACACGGUUGAGACACUUACGGGAGGCAGCAGUAGGGAGUAUUGCUCAAUGGGCGAAACCCUGAAGCAGCUCAGCCGCGUGGAGUAUGACACUUUUCGGAGCUUAAACUCCUUUUGUUAGGGAAGCGGUACCUAACGAAUAAGCACCGGCUAACUCCGUGCCAGCCGCCGCGGUAAUAC
RNAcentral lists this ribosomal RNA (408 nucleotides) under uncultured bacterium. Its description in RNAcentral is "partial 16S ribosomal RNA". It matches the Rfam family "Bacterial small subunit ribosomal RNA", at positions 29 to 526 of the family's 1533-position model. The record is from RNAcentral.